Molecule: ribosomal RNA, 2192 nt
Filed under: human gut metagenome
Description: bacterial LSU rRNA
Rfam family: Bacterial large subunit ribosomal RNA
Source: RNAcentral
GCAGGUUGAAGCGCGGGUAAGACCGCGUGGAGGACCGAACCCACCUGGGUUGAAAACCGGGGGGAUGACCUGGGGCUAGGGGUGAAAGGCCAAUCAAAUUCCGUGAUAGCUGGUUCUCUCCGAAAUGCAUUUAGGUGCAGCGUCGGUUGAUUGCAUCGCGGGGGUAGAGCUACUGGAUGCUUGCGGGCCCGUGUGGGGUACCAAUAGCAGCCAAACUCCGAAUACCGUGGAUGUGUAUUCCGGCAGUGAGUCGGCGGGGGAUAAGCUCCGUCGUCGAGAGGGAGACAGCCCAGAUCGUCGUCUAAGGUCCCGAAGCGUGUGCUAAGUGGGAAAGGAUGUGGAGUCGCAUAGACAGCCAGGAGGUUGGCUCAGAAGCAGCCAUCCUUGAAAGAGUGCGUAACAGCUCACUGGUCUAGUGGUUCCGCGCCGACAAUGUAGCGGGGCUCAAGCACACCACCGAAGACGCGGCAGCGGCCUUUGCGGCCGUUGGGUAGGAGAGCGUCCCGCGUGGGGCGAAGCGGCCGGGGAACCGUGCCGUGGACCGCGCGGGAGUGAGAAUGCAGACAUGAGUAGCGAGAGACGGGUGAGGAUCCCGUCCGCUGGAUGACCAAGGGUUCCGGGGCCACGUUCGUCGUCCCCGGGUGAGUCGGGUCCUAAGGCGAGGCCGACAGGCGUAGUCGAAUGGAUGAACGGGUGGAUAUUCCCGUACCGGCGGCGUACCGUAAGAGCCGAACGGAUGAGUACUAACCUCCGGUCGCGUGGCGUCGUUCCCUUCGGGGUUCGGGGCGCGUGGCUGUUGGGAGCGUAGUCCCGGUAGGCUAGCGCACAGGGGUGACACGGAAUGGGAGCCGGCCGCGGAGGUGGUUUUCCGUGGUCAAGCACGCAGCCCGUCCCAUAGGCAAAUCCGUGGGGCACAUAGGGUGAGGUGUGAUGAUGGGCGUCCUUUGGACGCGAUAUCCGGUGGUCCAGGCCGUCGAGAAAAGCCUCGGCGCGAGGGGCGUCGCCGCCCGUACCCCAAACCGACACUGGUGGUCAGGUAGAGAAUACCAAGGCGAUCGAGCGAAUCCUGGUCAAGGAACUCGGCAAAUCACUCCCGUGCCUUCGGUAUAAGGGAGACCCCCGGGCGUGAAGAGGCUUGCCCUCGGAGCGUUGGGGGGUGGCACAGACCAGGGGGUAGCGACUGUUUACCAAAAACACAGGUGCAUGCGAAGGCGCAAGCCGCUGUAUAUGCACUGACGCCUGCCCGGUGCCGGAAGGUUAAGAGGAUCCGUCAGCCCUUUUUGGGGUGAAGCGGUGAAUUCAAGCCCCGGUAAACGGCGGUGGUAACUAUAACCAUCCUAAGGUAGCGAAAUUCCUUGUCGGGUAAGUUCCGACCUGCACGAAUGGCGUAACGACUUCCCCACUGUCUCGACCAGGAGCUCGGCGAAAUUGCAGUACGAGUAAAGAUGCUCGUUAAGCGCAGAAGGACGAAAAGACCCCGGGACCUUUACUAUACCUUGGUAUUGGCGUUAGGCGCGGAUUGUGUAGCAUAGGCGGGAGGCUUCGAAGCAUGGGCGCCAGCCCGUGUGGAGCCGCAAGGUGAAAUACCGCUCUGUUCUCGUUUGACGUCUAACCUCGAACAGUCAUCCUGUUCAGGGACAGUGCCUGGCGGGUAGUUUAACUGGGGCGGUUGCCUCCCAAAGAGUAACGGAGGCGCUCAAAGGUCCGCUCAGCCCGGUUGGCAAUCGGGUUUCGAGUGUAAUCGCACAAGCGGGCUUGACUGCGAGAACGACGGUUCGGGCAGGGACGAAAGUCGGAGAUAGUGAUCCGGUGCCGGCGCACGGGCGCGGCAUCGCUCAACGGAUAAAAGGUACCCCGGGGAUAACAGGCUGAUCAUUCCCAAGAGUCCAUAUCGACGGGAUGGUUUGGCACCUCGAUGUCGGCUCGUCGCAUCCUGGGGCUGGAGCAGGUCCCAAGGGUUCGGCUGUUCGCCGAUUAAAGCGGCACGCGAGCUGGGUUCAGAACGUCGUGAGACAGUUUGGUCUCUAUCCUCUGCGCUCGUUGGAAUCCUGAGGAGGCCUGCCCAUAGUACGAGAGGACCUGGGUGGACGGACCUCUGGUAUGCCGGUUGUCGCGCCAGCGGCAUGGCCGGUUGGCUACGUUCGGGAGGGAUAACCGCUGAAAGCAUCUAAGCGGGAAGCCUGCUCCAAGAU